UACGUAGGGUGCAAGCGUUGUCCGGAAUUAUUGGGCGUAAAGAGCUCGUAGGCGGUUUGUCGCGUCUGCCGUGAAAGUCCGGGGCUCAACUCCGGAUCUGCGGUGGGUACGGGCAGACUAGAGUGAUGUAGGGGAGACUGGAAUUCCUGGUGUAGCGGUGAAAUGCGUAGAUAUCGAGAGGAACACCUGCGGCGAAGGCGGGUUGCUGGGCUGACACUGACGCUGAGGCGCGAAAGCUAGGGGAGCGAACGGG
RNAcentral lists this ribosomal RNA (253 nucleotides) under uncultured bacterium. Its description in RNAcentral is "partial 16S ribosomal RNA". It matches the Rfam family "Bacterial small subunit ribosomal RNA", at positions 524 to 776 of the family's 1533-position model. The record is from RNAcentral.